GCUGGGUCCGCUGGCUACUGGGUCGUGAGUACCGAUUACGUUAAUUAUGCCGUCGUCUACAGCUGCAAAAGUCUAAUAAUCGCACAUACGGAGAAUGUGUGGAUCCUCACGCGUGAGCGCGUUCCCUCUGACGAUAUUGUAAAGGAAGCUUUGGCUGUGCUUGUUUCCCAAGGUAUAUCUACGGACCCUUUGACUGUGACCAAUCAAUCAGGUUGCUCAGACGCAUGAAAAGGAAACCACAACAAACUAUGGAACCACGAAGUCUGUAAACUAUCCGAAACGAUGUAAAUAUUGUACAUAAAACAAAUAAAACACUACAAAUACCUGCAUCAAAAUG
Bactrocera latifrons is the source of this 337-nucleotide long non-coding RNA. RefSeq lists it as uncharacterized. The record is from RefSeq and is a predicted model, not a curated record. NCBI's taxonomy places the organism in Eukaryota, Metazoa, Arthropoda, Insecta, Diptera, Tephritidae. The transcript has 2 exons.